CCUCUUAAUUUUCCCAGCAUUCUUUUUAACUUUUGUUUGUGUUGUGCAUCUGAUGGCAGGGCCUGCUGUUGGACUCCCUGGGAAGUUCUUUUCAAACUCACAAAGAAGCAUCCACCCCACCGAGCACGGGGGACUACAUGAAGCUUCUGAAACAUUUCAGAAAAGCUAAUAUGAGCGGGAAUGAAUGUUUUAAUUUGGGCCAUGAGCAUAAUCUACUCAGUUGGAUAUGUGGCAGGGAUAAGACAAAGCCAAGGUUGUACGAUCCAAUGAAAGAGUGGAGAACGGGGAGACACUGGAAGUCUUGCCAGGGAAAUUACUGUGGUAGAUCUGCAAGCUGAUCUCCAGACUUGGGCUGUUCAGAUGAACGUUGAUAAACUUCAGAGACACGUCUCCACUUUAUAGCUUUAUCUGAAACACCCCAAAUGCUGGCACUUCUCCCAUCCUGCUCUCUAGUUUUUCCUAAUGAGAGACUGUAAGAUUCAUGCUCUUCAUCACCACUGCAAACUUCUGGUGUUCAGUUGUGCAAUCGUUACAGAAAGCACAUGCCGCAUCGUUCUGUGCCCGUUAAAGUGAGAGACAAAUGACUUGUUUGCUUGAGCGUGUCUGUCUGUCCCUCCUAAGCUCCUGCCUCCAGUAAACCAGUGGAUGCCCCAAACCUACACCAAAC
RNAcentral lists this long non-coding RNA (667 nucleotides) under Rattus norvegicus (Norway rat). RNAcentral's name for it is "long non-coding RNA NONRATT032319". Lineage: Eukaryota; Metazoa; Chordata; Mammalia; Rodentia; Muridae. The record is from RNAcentral.